GAGAGCAACAACUCUCUUCUUAAUCUAACCAACGAAGGUCGCAAGUCCUUGUGUAAUAGAGAGCGAGAA
RNAcentral lists this non-coding RNA (69 nucleotides) under unclassified sequences. The record is from RNAcentral.